AACCUGGUUGAUCCUGCCAGUAGUCAUAUGCUUGUCUCAAAGAUUAAGCCAUGCAAGUGAAAGUAUAUGCAUAUUUUAUAUGUAGAAACUGCGAACGGCUCAUUAAAACAGCUAUAAUCUACUUGACAUUUUCUAUAUAUAAGGAUAACUACGGAAAAGCUGUAACUAAUACUUGCUUUAGCACUCUUGAUUUCUUUCUUGAGUGUGUACUUGUUAAGCCUUAUAAGAAAAGAGUUAUUAACUUAAGGAAUUAUAACAAAGAAGUAACACGUAAUGGAUUUUUCCAUUUUUAGUGUGUAUCAAUCGAGUUUCUGACCUAUCAGCUUUUGAUGUUAGGGUAUUGGCCUAACAUGGCUAUGACGGGUAACGGGGAAUUAGAGUUCGAUUCCGGAGAGGGAGCCUGAGAAAUAGCUACCACAUCUAAGGAAGGCAGCAGGCGCGUAAAUUACCCAAUUCUAAAGAAGAGAGGUAGUGACAAGAAAUAACAAUACAAGGCCAAUCUGGCUUUGUAAUUGGAAUGAUGGGAAUUUAAAACCUUCCCAAAAUUCAAUUGGAGGGCAAGUCUGGUGCCAGCAGCCGCGGUAAUUCCAGCUCCAAUAGCGUAUAUUAAAAUUGUUGCAGUUAAAACGCUCGUAGUUGAAUUUCAAAGAACCUAUAUUUUAAUGAUGCUGUUAGCGAGAGCCACAAAAAAGCGAAUUCCAAUAUAUGUUUUCUGCUUUAUGUGCGCAUCCUCUACCUAUUAAGUGUUAAUUAAAUUAAAGGGUUUCUUUUUAAAAUCUUCUAUAACUAAUAAAAAUAUACGGAAGAUUUUGUUACUUUGAGU
Molecule: ribosomal RNA, 823 nt
Filed under: Plasmodium knowlesi
Lineage: Eukaryota; Apicomplexa; Aconoidasida; Haemosporida; Plasmodiidae
Description: SSU rRNA
Rfam family: Eukaryotic small subunit ribosomal RNA
Source: RNAcentral